RNAcentral lists this small nucleolar RNA (131 nucleotides) under Nelumbo nucifera (sacred lotus). RNAcentral describes it as "Small nucleolar RNA snoR74". It matches the Rfam family "Small nucleolar RNA snoR74". The record is from Rfam by way of RNAcentral. Lineage: Eukaryota; Viridiplantae; Streptophyta; Magnoliopsida; Proteales; Nelumbonaceae.
UGAAAAGCAGGGUCCUGUUGCCCAUGUGAACAGGUCUCUCGUAAACUUCAGGGAAAUUGUUCACAUUGUUAUUGGGUGAACCUCUGUAAGUGGUUUUGAUGACAGAAGGUUCAGUAAAUGAUGUUACAUUA